UACGUAGGGACCGAGCGUUGUCCGGAAUCAUUGGGCGUAAAGAGCGUGUAGGCGGCCUUUUAAGUCCUGCGUGAAAUCCUGCGGCUCAACCGCAGACGGUCGUGGGAAACUGGAAGGCUAGAGUGCGGGAGAGGAGAGUGGAAUUCCCGGUGUAGCAGUGAAAUGCGUAGAGAUCGUGAGGAAGACCCGUGGCGAAGGCGGAUCUCUGGACGGCUAACUGACGCUGAGGCGCGAAGGCCAGGGGAGCAAACGGG
This 254-nucleotide ribosomal RNA is filed under the name uncultured bacterium. RNAcentral's name for it is "partial 16S ribosomal RNA". It matches the Rfam family "Bacterial small subunit ribosomal RNA", at positions 524 to 776 of the family's 1533-position model. The record is from RNAcentral.